Molecule: long non-coding RNA, 1172 nt
Filed under: Ananas comosus (pineapple)
Lineage: Eukaryota; Viridiplantae; Streptophyta; Magnoliopsida; Poales; Bromeliaceae
Description: long non-coding RNA (ACOM_LNC024448)
Source: RNAcentral
AGGUACGCAUUUCACGAACACCAGCGGUCUGAUUCACCGCAAGUGGGUGUUCUUUUCCGGAAAAGUGGUUCGAUUGCCAACCCGUGAGCCCAGGGGCUUUAUUGCGAGGGUAUAUGCUUCUGACCCAGGGGCUUCAUUGCGAGGGUCAGGUACAGGUUGAGCAGUGUGGCAUGGGCCUGAGGUCUUCGGACCAAUAGGGCAGCGAGAUUGGGUACUUUUGAGGUUAUCGUCAGUUGACGCAUAUGUCUAUAGUAGCAGUCGUUGCAUGCAUAUUUACAGUUCUUACUUUAUAGUUGUCUUGCUACUAUAGUAGAUAUUCAUGUAUGCUUUCGAUUUCAGUUACAGUAGCGGUAGCCGUUAUUCAGUCUAGUUCUUACUUUCUUUCAGUUUAUUGCUACUGUAUUCGGUAUAUCUGCUCAUUACCUUACAUACCUCUUUCGUUUAUUAUUGUUGCUACUAUAUUUCCACCGAUCCGUGUUGUUGUAUAGCUCUUCCUGAUCCGGUGAGUACUCCUCGCCUUCUUCGGCUUGCGGUACCCACUGGGAGGGGAAACAUGUUUACAUGUUCUCACCUCCCCCACUAUUUUUCAGGUAUCGCGGGCGGUGAGGGUUGAGACGAGACGUGAGAUACGUAGCGGUCGAUAGAGCUUCCGACUCAGGUUAUUUCGGUUUAGUUAUUACCCCUAUUAUUUCUGUUGAUGUAUAGUUUAGUUGGUUUAUGUGGUUCAGUAUUUCAUUAUGUUAAAAUAAAAAGAUUUCUAGAUUUUGUAAAAUAAAAGGUUUUCUACCCCUCGUGGUAGCGUUUUUAAAAGUUAAAAGUUCCCGUGUAGGGAACAGUUUUUCAAAAGAUUUUCUGUGGAUUUUGUAUCUUAGUAUUUCAAAACCUGUUUCUGAGUUGGAAACAUUUUAACUGAUAGAUGCGGAUGUAUGAAUAUAUAAAUGUGAACCUGUGAUGUGAAUGGUGUAUGAAUAUAUAAUUGUUGGUUAUUUGUAUAUUCAUUUGGUUGUGGUUGUACCUGGGUUACUUCUUGUACUUGUGCGACGCCGUGCAAAUACAGGGGAGACUCUGUCCGUGUGCACAGUGGAUUCCCUGUAUUUGUGGCGGAUCUGGCAUACUCUGGGGUCAGGUUUUCAAAAAAAAAAAAAAAUCCAGACGCUUUUCCGCUAUCUUUU